This 1439-nucleotide ribosomal RNA is filed under the name uncultured organism. RNAcentral's name for it is "SSU rRNA". It matches the Rfam family "Bacterial small subunit ribosomal RNA". The record is from RNAcentral.
AUCUACAGGCUUAACACAUGCAAGUCGAGGGGCAGCAUUUCAGUUUGCUUGCAAACUGGAGAUGGCGACCGGCGCACGGGUGAGUAACACGUAUCCAACCUGCCGAUAACUCGGGGAUAGCCUUUCGAAAGAAAGAUUAAUACCCGAUGGUAUAAUCAGACCGCAUGGUCUUGUUAUUAAAGAAUUUCGGUUAUCGAUGGGGAUGCGUUCCAUUAGGCAGUUGGUGAGGUAACGGCUCACCAAACCUUCGAUGGAUAGGGGUUCUGAGAGGAAGGUCCCCCACAUUGGAACUGAGACACGGUCCAAACUCCUACGGGAGGCAGCAGUGAGGAAUAUUGGUCAAUGGGCGCAGGCCUGAACCAGCCAAGUAGCGUGAAGGAUGACUGCCCUAUGGGUUGUAAACUUCUUUUAUAUGGGAAUAAAGUUUUCCACGUGUGGAAUUUUGUAUGUACCAUAUGAAUAAGGAUCGGCUAACUCCGUGCCAGCAGCCGCGGUAAUACGGAGGAUCCGAGCGUUAUCCGGAUUUAUUGGGUUUAAAGGGAGCGUAGGUGGACAGUUAAGUCAGUUGUGAAAGUUUGCGGCUCAACCGUAAAAUUGCAGUUGAUACUGGCUGUCUUGAGUACAGUAGAGGUGGGCGGAAUUCGUGGUGUAGCGGUGAAAUGCUUAGAUAUCACGAAGAACUCCGAUUGCGAAGGCAGCUCACUGGACUGCAACUGACACUGAUGCUCGAAAGUGUGGGUAUCAAACAGGAUUAGAUACCCUGGUAGUCCACACAGUAAACGAUGAAUACUCGCUGUUUGCGAUAUACAGUAAGCGGCCAAGCGAAAGCAUUAAGUAUUCCACCUGGGGAGUACGCCGGCAACGGUGAAACUCAAAGGAAUUGACGGGGGCCCGCACAAGCGGAGGAACAUGUGGUUUAAUUCGAUGAUACGCGAGGAACCUUACCCGGGCUUAAAUUGCAUUUGAAUAUAUUGGAAACAGUAUAGCCGUAAGGCAAAUGUGAAGGUGCUGCAUGGUUGUCGUCAGCUCGUGCCGUGAGGUGUCGGCUUAAGUGCCAUAACGAGCGCAACCCUUAUCUUUAGUUACUAACAGGUCAUGCUGAGGACUCUAGAGAGACUGCCGUCGUAAGAUGUGAGGAAGGUGGGGAUGACGUCAAAUCAGCACGGCCCUUACGUCCGGGGCUACACACGUGUUACAAUGGGGGGUACAGAAGGCAGCUACCUGGUGACAGGAUGCUAAUCCCAAAAGCCUCUCUCAGUUCGGAUCGAAGUCUGCAACCCGACUUCGUGAAGCUGGAUUCGCUAGUAAUCGCGCAUCAGCCAUGGCGCGGUGAAUACGUUCCCGGGCCUUGUACACACCGCCCGUCAAGCCAUGAAAGCCGGGGGUACCUGAAGUACGUAACCGCAAGGAGCGUCCUAGGGUAAAACUGGUAAUUGGGG